AUAUCAAUAAGCGGAGGAAAAGAAACCAACAGGGAUUGCCUCAGUAACGGCGAGUGAAGCGGCAAAAGCUCAAAUUUGAAAUCUAGUACCUUUGGUGCUCGAGUUGUAAUUUGAAGAUAGUUUUCUGGUACUGGCCCUUGUCUAUGUUCCUUGGAACAGGACGUCAUAGAGGGUGAGAAUCCCGUCUGAUGGGGUGUCCAGUGCUUUGUAGAUUUCUAUCGAAGAGUCGAGUUGUUUGGGAAUGCAGCUCUAAGUGGGUGGUAAAUUCCAUCUAAAGCUAAAUACUGGCGAGAGACCGAUAGCGAACAAGUACAGUGAUGGAAAGAUGAAAAGAACUUUGAAAAGAGAGUGAAAAAGUACGUGAAAUUGUUGAAAGGGAAGGAUAUUGGAUCAGACUUGGUGUUUUGUGAUUAUCUUCCCUUCUUGGGUUGUGCACUCGCAUUUCACUGGGCCAGCAUCGGUUCGGAUGGCAAGAUAAUGGCUUGGGAACGUGGCACUCUUCGGAGUGUGUUAUAGCCCUUGUUGAUGUUGCCUAUCUGGACCGAGGACUGCGGCUUCUGCCUAGGAUGCUGGCGUAAUGAUUCAAU
RNAcentral lists this ribosomal RNA (587 nucleotides) under ascomycete sp. YP2-ET-L-1. RNAcentral describes it as "eukaryotic LSU rRNA". It matches the Rfam family "Eukaryotic large subunit ribosomal RNA", at positions 40 to 643 of the family's 3401-position model. Lineage: Eukaryota; Fungi; Ascomycota. The record is from RNAcentral. RNAcentral also lists the same sequence under 1 other name.